AACGAACGCUGGCGGCAUGCCUAACACAUGCAAGUCGAACGAGACCUUCGGGUCUAGUGGCGCACGGGUGCGUAACGAGUGGGAACCUGCCCUUAGGUUCGGAAUCACUCCCCGAAAGGGGUGCUCAUAACGGAUAAUGUCAUCGGACCAAAGAUUUGGCGCCUGUGGGUGGGCCCGAGGUUGAUUAGCUAGUUGGUAGGGUAAAGGCCUACCAAGGCGACGACCGGUAGCUGGUCUGUGAGGAUGACUGGCCACACUGGGACUGAGAUACGGCCCAGACUCGUACGGGAGGCAGCAGUGGGGAAUAUUGCACAAUGGGCGGAAGCCUGAUGCAGCAACGCCGCGUGCGGGAUGACGGCCUUCGGGUUGUAAACCGCUUUCGCCUGUGACGAAGCGUGAGUGACGGUAAUGGGUAAAGAAGCACCGGCUAACUACGUG
Molecule: ribosomal RNA, 438 nt
Filed under: uncultured bacterium
Lineage: Bacteria
Description: partial 16S ribosomal RNA
Rfam family: Bacterial small subunit ribosomal RNA
Source: RNAcentral